GGAAGGGUUCGGGUAAAAAUAUAGGCCCGAAAUCUGGGUUUGGGAAAAAAAAGGCUCGUUUAGAAAAUGGGCCGGGCCUCGGGCAAAAUUUUUUUGGCUCAGGCCAUGCCCGAAUAUAUUAAUUAUAUAUUUUUUAUUUUUAUUUUUUAAAAUACAUUUCCCAUUUCCCAUUUAUUUUUAUUCUUUUUUAUUUUUAUUUUUUAAAAGUA
RNAcentral lists this long non-coding RNA (209 nucleotides) under Gossypium raimondii (Peruvian cotton). Its description in RNAcentral is "long non-coding RNA (GRAI_LNC001108)". Lineage: Eukaryota; Viridiplantae; Streptophyta; Magnoliopsida; Malvales; Malvaceae. The record is from RNAcentral.